UACGGGGGGGGCAAGCGUUGUUCGGAAUUACUGGGCGUAAAGGGCGCGUAGGCGGCCACCGCAAGUCGACUGUGAAAUCUCCGGGCUUAACCCGGAAAGGUCAGCCGAUACUGCGGGGCUAGAGUGCAGAAGGGGCAACUGGAAUUCUCGGUGUCGCGGUGAAAUGCGUAGAUAUCGAGAGGAACACCUGCGGCGAAGGCGGGUUGCUGGGCUGACACUGACGCUGAUGCGCGAAAGCUAGGGGAGCGAACGGG
Molecule: ribosomal RNA, 254 nt
Filed under: uncultured bacterium
Lineage: Bacteria
Description: partial 16S ribosomal RNA
Rfam family: Bacterial small subunit ribosomal RNA
Source: RNAcentral